GACGAACGCUGGCGGCGUGCUUAACACAUGCAAGUCGAACGGAAAGGCCCUGCUUUUGUGGGGUGCUCGAGUGGCGAACGGGUGAGUAACACGUGAGUAACCUGCCCUUGACUUUGGGAUAACUUCAGGAAACUGGGGCUAAUACCGGAUAGGAGCUCCUGCUGCAUGGUGGGGGUUGGAAAGUUUCGGCGGUUGGGGAUGGACUCGCGGCUUAUCAGCUUGUUGGUGGGGUAGUGGCUUACCAAGGCUUUGACGGGUAGCCGGCCUGUGAGGGUGACCGGCCACAUUGGGACUGAGAUACGGCCCAGACUCCUACGGGGGGCAGCAGUGGGGAAUAUUGCACAAUGGGCGGAAGCCUGAUGCAGCAACGCCGCGUGCGGGAUGACGGCCUUCGGGUUGUAAACCGCUUUCGCCUGUGACGAAGCGUGAGUGACGGUAAUGGGUAAAGAAGCACCGGCUAACUACGUG
RNAcentral lists this ribosomal RNA (468 nucleotides) under uncultured bacterium. RNAcentral's name for it is "partial 16S ribosomal RNA". It matches the Rfam family "Bacterial small subunit ribosomal RNA", at positions 28 to 507 of the family's 1533-position model. The record is from RNAcentral.